CCUACGGGAGGCAGCAGUGAGGAAUAUUGGUCAAUGGACGAGAGUCUGAACCAGCCAAGUAGCGUGAAGGAUGAAGGUUCUAUGGAUUGUAAACUUCUUUUAUACGGGAAUAAACGAAUCCACGUGUGGAUUUUUGCAUGUACCGUAUGAAUAAGGAUCGGCUAACUCCGUGCCAGCAGCCGCGGUAAUACGGAGGAUCCGAGCGUUAUCCGGAUUUAUUGGGUUUAAAGGGAGCGUAGAUGGGUUGUUAAGUCAGUUGUGAAAGUUUGCGGCUCAACCGUAAAAUUGCAAUUGAUACUGGCAGUCUUGAGUACAGUUGAGGUAGGCGGAAUUCGUGGUGUAGCGGUGAAAUGCUUAGAUAUCACGAAGAACUCCGAUUGCGAAGGCAGCUUACUAACCUGUAACUGACAUUGAUGCUCGAAAGUGUGGGUAUCAAACA
RNAcentral lists this ribosomal RNA (439 nucleotides) under uncultured Bacteroides sp. Its description in RNAcentral is "bacterial SSU rRNA". It matches the Rfam family "Bacterial small subunit ribosomal RNA", at positions 338 to 774 of the family's 1533-position model. Lineage: Bacteria; Pseudomonadati; Bacteroidota; Bacteroidia; Bacteroidales; Bacteroidaceae. The record is from RNAcentral.